CUUCCCAUUAAAACAAUCAAGAAUGAUGGCGAAUUUAAUAUAUUUGAUUAGAGAAACUCCAAUUUGGUGCACUUGAAUCAGCUGCCUUUGUCUUCAGCUCCUGAUGGCCCUGUUUCAGUGGAAUGUCCUCACUGGCCACUGCCAGCUCCCUCAGGCUCGGAGAACAUUCCACAUUUGCCUGGCAUGCUCAGAAACAGGGCAGCUAUGCUGCGGGAAAUGCCAGGCCCACUCUGUCCUAAUCAGAGGGAGCGCCACUUCAUUAGAUCAUGGUCACUUGCUGGUGACCCUCAGAGGUGUAGCCUGAGGACAAAGGACGUUAUGGUCCUCCUAAGCAAUGUUGACUUUUCACGGUUAUUUAUUACUUCCCUCAGUUGGUACUUACCAAUGCGAUCCAGGCCUGACUCCUACACAAACAACCCCCAUAGACUCCCGUGUUCAAGUUGCACAGAUGAAUUUUGGAGAAAGUAAUCACAUUUAAAUAUGGAGUCCCUUCCAUUAAAAAUAAAUAGAAACUCAGGGGAAAAUAGAAAAAGUGUCCUCACCCCCCGCCCCCCGUGUCAUUAAGAGAGCUUGCAAUCGUGUCUAAGUAGCACCCACUUUGCAGAAACCUUGAAAGGUGUUUCAGGGGAGCCAGGGAGUACAGACUUAGACAAUGUCACUUAUUCACACUUAAAAUACAUGGUGAUUUAGCGCUAUCACUAUUUAGUCUAGAUAAGUGCUCGAUGAACAAGUAAGGACUGAAUUAAAGAUGAGAGUCUGAACUGUGGCAGAGAUAUGUGGGCUCUCUUGAAUUCAUAGGGAUUUCCUUGGAUAGUUUCUACUCACUGCCAGUAUCGUAUUGAACUGAGACGGACUAGGCUACAAAGACAGUUAAACUCAUUGCCUGCUUAAUCACAAAGGAAAGAAGUUGGAAUCCGCCCCACAUUGCCACCUGGCUUAGUCCCUGCCUAUGAUUGCCUGUGAUAGGAAACCAAACCCAAGGGACUAUGGCCAAGUAUAAAAUAGCAUCCAGGUUUCUGGGUCUCAGCACCCGUGUCCAGUCUGUGAAGCAGCCUGUCAACAAGAGACUUUAAAGUCUCUGCUACACUUGGGAAGAGUUACCUAGGAAGGAGGGCACCUCCUGGGGGUGACUGGGGGCUGCAAGGGAUACUUCCCUUGGAGAUCAACUGGCAGCCCAUCAGUUUGGCCUGCUACACAAGUCAGAGACCUCUGAGGAGGGCUAAAGAUGUUUUGGCUCCACACCCAAAAGCACUCUGAGCGUGGGGCAAGAAGAACCAGCCAGCCUUCCAGAAAGGCCAGUUUCCCAAGAGCAGCAUGGGCUGCCAGGUUCAGGGACGUGCAGCCAAGGCCAGCAGGAGAUGUUCUGAGCUGCCCANGGUGAGGGAGAGGGAGAGGGAGUUUCAUGAUACUCAGCUAGAUGAAUGUGUUCAAACACAACAGAGAGCCUGCCUGCCUGCCUGCCUUCUACCUCUCCCUUUUCAGUUGAGUUUGAAGAUUCCUCUCGUAUAAGAAUUAAUAUGAAAAGAAUUCUGAACCCUAUUAUGGCAUUGUGUUAUAAUAAUGGAAUGCUCGUCCCGCCCAAUCUGGCUGGCUGUCCCCUGGACCAUGCCAACAACAAUCCAGUUCCACAGUGUGUAAGGGUGGCUGUGGGGACAGCCUCCAGAGCUGACAGAGAGGCUCUGGAUACUUCAUGACGGUCAAAUGGACAGAGUGGGUCCGGACACCCCAGCCACCUUUCUGCACACACGUGUGGACACAGGAGGACACAUGCUUGGUGUUGGGGAUUGAACUCCAGCAGUAGUGUGAGGGAUCCAGUAAGACAUGAGAAAGGUCUUCCAGCCGGAGAAAGGUUCAGCCCUGCUUGUCACUGGAAAAGGAUGCCGAAGUGCUGCCUGAGAGAGAAUAUGUCUGAUGAGUGAGGGGUGGAGUCCUGCAGUUCUACAGAAGCCCCUGGCUGCCUAGACAGUGAUAAGGAUAACAGCCUCGUAUGCAAUCAUCAAAUGGUACCACAAGGAGAGAGCACACAUUCAGAACUCACUGUAAGAGCCAGCCUGCUUCAGAGACACUGACCAGCAAGCAAUCACGGUGCUGCACAUCACACAGGGUGGAGCCAGCCGUGCGUGAGCUUCGAUGGGCGACCACAGCAAGGAAAUGGAAGCCAAAGAGAACCAAGCGCUGAACGGCCUCGAUUAAAGACCCGAAAAUGAAUACUGUGUAGGCAAAGACGGGAUUCCCCUCAGAGAGCAACAGUGGGUGAGGAUAAUCCUAGGUGUGGCAAAGAUCGAGGACCUCCACAAAGGCUCCAGCUGCAGCUUGCUGGGCUGUCUGUCCCACCAGCAGACAGGCUUCAUCAGGAAUGAAAACCAUCCCGUGGCCUACAGCAGCCCUUCAAAUAGAGUCUGGAUGGAAGCACGAAGAGACGAACACAGCCAGGUACUACCAGCGCAUCAGUGGGGCGGAACUGGUCUCCAUGAGCCACCCACAGGGACUACUGCAGAGCAGGAGAGUGGGCAAUGGUGAGUGUGGAAUGACUCUUGGCUGGCAAGCAACUGCCUCCUGAAUAGUCAGAGGAGUAUCCUUACAUCCUAAUGACAUCGUGAAACAAUUAGAACCACCAUCAGUCCCUUUUCCUCCAUCCUUGUGACUCACUGGUAAAAGCUAGAGAAUCCCUCAUCAAUUACUAAGUUACUAACCUGUGAGUCAGGUGGAUUAGAGAGGCUGAACAAUCUGCAGAACAAUUGUGCAUGUGCUUCUGACUCAGCUCAAGGUGUUAAAAGGGACCCGUCCUACAUCCCACACCUAGAAACACCUGUCUCACUCAUUUCCCAGCAUGCCUAGGACUGCUGCCCCAGUGUGGCAAGCACUAAAGCACUCGGAGCAUCACCUGAAGGUCAGCACCUCCUGCCCUCUGAUGCCCACGAGUGAAGUUCACACAGCACCACUGCAGUUUAUCAUUUAUCAAGUCCGCUACCUUUUAGGACCAGGGAGGCUCAGCUCUCUAUAACCAUCAGAAGAAACUCCUCUCCUCCCACUUCUUCCUAUGUGACGUCAUAGGGUCCAGCAUAGGAACUUGGAACAAGUAGCCCUGAGAAGUCAUUUGAGAUCAGAAGAGAGGGGUUUUUAAUCUUGGUUCACCGGAAGAGCACUGAUGCAUUUGACUUCCUGAUUUUGGCAGACCAAAUAAAACAAACAGAUUAAAAAGAGAGAAAAGGGAAGGAAGAAUAAAAGGAAGGAAGGGAGGAAGGAAAAAACAAAUCCACAAUUGACAACAAAAAGUAACUAAUAACACAGAAACUAAUUAGGACUCUGUCGUAUUUAAUUCUUCUUCAUAUCAAGGUGUCCAGGGCCACCAUUGAGUGCGGCCAAUGCUAGAGUAGACAUGCUUCUUGUGGCACACAGUGCAAGUGUUUUUAGGAGAGGAAGUGAAGCAGGGUGUGUGCUGGCUGACUCAGAGGGCUGGUAUAGGGAACGUGAGGUGCUGAGGAACCCUGGUUCCUGUUGUAACAGCCAGCUGCUUUCUCUAAGCGCUUACCUUACCCUCUCAGAAGGACCUUGUUUGUACUCCAUAAUGGAUGACUGUGGAAUGUACAUUGUAACCAUUAGUCACACGGCCGAACGGAUACAAUGGCCACUUCUAGACAUUAGCUAUUGAUGGAGGCAGACGAUGACACUCAGGACAAACUGUUCUCUGCAUGAGGAACACUGAGUAAACUGACUAGAGAGUUAUGGCUCAAGGAGGCAAGUCCUGGCAGGCAGAGAGAAAGCAGCAUGAGCCAAUGUGUAAGCCUAGACUGGCUCACUAUUCAGACUCUGGCUAAUUGACCGAGUGGUGGGGUCCAGACAGUCGUGUGUGGCCAGUGAGUACUCACAAGUCCUCCUUUCUGUGUUCCGGAAGAGUAUAACUGAGUGAGCUCCACAUGUAGGAGUUCAGUGCAUGAUAGAUUUUCUUUCCAGGAAGACUGUACAGUAUAGCUAUUGGCACGGCCAUAGGCUUGAUAUUUCAGUUCUUCUAGUUAUUAACUGGACAGCUUUGCACCAAUUCUUUCAACAGCCAAAGUCCUGGUCCUUGUCUCAGAGGAUUGUUAUGAUAAAGCUAUGUGAUAUCUCAGUCAAAAUGUGGAUGGUGUUCCUCAUUCCUGGUAUGUCGUCGUGAUUAUUGUGUCACAGUGGAUUCAGAAUGCAUUACUCCACCAUUUAUCUCCACAUGGCAGAGUUCAUCUAUAUUUGUAUGUUUGCCUUCACCCAUGGGCUAUGCAUUGCUCAGGGAAAGAGCUAUUUUUUGCAUCUUACCUGAUUCCUAGAACUGCUGUGGACCUUCCUGGAAACACAAGUACUGAGGGUGGGACACAGAGUUGGACAAAGGCCAAAGACUGAUGAUCUAUGGUCUUGUUGCUCUCUCCUACUGUUCUGGGGGCCAGAAGCUGACGCCCCUGGAAACUUAACUCUUUCUUACUGUUCUGUGCUGAUAAGGGCUAGUUUCCCACUCCGUACUUCUCUAUUUGUGUUUAAAUAAGCACUGGUUUUUCUUUUCUUCCUCUCUCAGCCCCUCACUCCUCAGGAGACUCAGAAUUCAUUAACUCUGAACCAGAGAGAAAAGAAGGA
This 4602-nucleotide small RNA is filed under the name Rattus norvegicus (Norway rat). RNAcentral's name for it is "uncharacterized LOC102546847". Lineage: Eukaryota; Metazoa; Chordata; Mammalia; Rodentia; Muridae. The record is from RNAcentral.